UGCUUUACACAUGCAAGUCGAACGGGGGUGGGGGCAACUCCACUUCAGUGGCGAACGGGUGAGUAAUGCAUCGGAACGUGUCCCGUGGUGGGGGAUAACGCCGCGAAAGCGGCGCUAAUACCGCAUAUGCUCUGCGGAGGAAAGUGGGGGACCUGCAAGGGCCUCACGCCAUGGGAGCGGCCGAUGUCCGAUUAGCUUGUUGGUGGGGUAAUGGCUUACCAAGGCAACGAUCGGUAGCUGGUCUGAGAGGAUGAUCAGCCACACUGGGACUGAGACACGGCCCAGACUCCUACGGGAGGCAGCAGUGGGGAAUUUUGGACAAUGGGGGCAACCCUGAUCCAGCCAUGCCGCGUGCGGGAAGAAGGCCUUCGGGUUGUAAACCGCUUUUAGUCGGGAAGAAAAGGCAGAGGCUAAUACCUUCUGUUUUUGACGGUACCGGCGGAAUAAGCACCGGCUAACUACGUGCCAGCAGCCGCGGUAAUACGUAGGGUGCGAGCGUUAAUCGGAAUUACUGGGCGUAAAGCGUGCGCAGGCGGUUCGUUGUGUCGGUGGUGAAAGCCCCGGGCUUAACCUGGGAAUGGCCAUGGAAACUGGCGAACUGGAGUGUGGCAGAGGGGGGUGGAAUUCCGCGUGUAGCAGUGAAAUGCGUAGAGAUGCGGAGGAACACCGAUGGCGAAGGCAGCCCCCUGGGCUGACACUGACGCUCAGGCACGAAAGCGUGGGGAGCAGACAGGAUUAGAUACCCUGGUAGUCCACGCCCUAAACGAUGUCAACUGGGUGUUGGGGAAGCGAUUUCCCAGUGCCGUAGCUAACGCGUGAAGUUGACCGCCUGGGGAGUACGGCCGCAAGGUUAAAACUCAAAGGAAUUGACGGGGACCCGCACAAGCGGUGGAUGAUGUGGAUUAAUUCGAUGCAACGCGAACAACCUUACCUACCCUUG
This 940-nucleotide ribosomal RNA is filed under the name uncultured bacterium. Its description in RNAcentral is "bacterial SSU rRNA". It matches the Rfam family "Bacterial small subunit ribosomal RNA", at positions 45 to 983 of the family's 1533-position model. The record is from RNAcentral.